CCCAUAUUUAGCUUCCAAAUGGUCCCGUCGGGGCCCCUCACCUGGUUUCAGCUCCCAGCUCAAGGCGAGAGAAGGUAUGGGAAGCUGCUUUGUACAACAAAGAAAGAAUAUGAAAGCUCAAGGGUGAAGGACCUGGACAGUCUGCGCUGAGGAAAACGGCAGAAAGAACUGAAGGAGUGGGCUGUUUGGCCUGGGGAAGGGACGCCUGUUGGUGGAAGGAAGACUCUGGGCAGCUGUGGGGCACCAGCUCUGCUGGCCUGGCAUUAGAUUCCAGGUUCUGGGGGGGAGCACUUUCUCAUGGUUGGGCCUCUCUGUGUAGAGAUGUGCAAGCAGGAGCUGGGGGACAGCCUUUCAGGACAGUCCAGAGGAGAUUCUCAAACUGGGCAAGAGGUUGAUCUCAGUUAGGGUCUUCUGAUGAAACCCCCAGAGCCUGGUGAGCUCUAGAGAUUCACCUUGCAGCUUGUUAAAAAUCCGUAUUCCUGGGACAGACAUCUAGAGUCUGAUUUAUGAAGAGAUUAAGGUGGGAAAAGGAUCUGUAGUUUUAAAAAGCUCCCCAGGUGGUUCCGGUGCAUAG
RNAcentral lists this long non-coding RNA (574 nucleotides) under Equus caballus (horse). Its description in RNAcentral is "lncRNA (ENSECAG00000053622.1)". Lineage: Eukaryota; Metazoa; Chordata; Mammalia; Perissodactyla; Equidae. The record is from RNAcentral.